RNAcentral lists this ribosomal RNA (253 nucleotides) under uncultured bacterium. RNAcentral's name for it is "partial 16S ribosomal RNA". It matches the Rfam family "Bacterial small subunit ribosomal RNA", at positions 524 to 776 of the family's 1533-position model. The record is from RNAcentral.
UACGAAGGGGGCGAGCGUUGUUCGGAAUCACUGGGCGUAAAGGGCGCGUAGGCGGCCCUCCUUGUCGCGUGUGAAAGCCCCGGGCUCAACCUGGGAACGGCGCGCGAGACGGGGGGGCUGGAGUUCGGGAGAGGAGCGUGGAAUUCCCAGUGUAGAGGUGAAAUUCGUAGAUAUUGGGAAGAACACCGGUGGCGAAGGCGGCGCUCUGGACCGAGACUGACGCUGAGGCGCGAAAGCCAGGGGAGCAAACGGG